GCCGUCCGGGUCUGGCGUUUAUGGGUUAUCCAAUUUCUUGAAUCCAUCUCCCACAGACACCUCCUUGACCGGGAAGGUUUUU
This is a non-coding RNA of Caenorhabditis elegans, 82 nucleotides long. The record is from Ensembl. NCBI's taxonomy places the organism in Eukaryota, Metazoa, Nematoda, Chromadorea, Rhabditida, Rhabditidae.